UGAGGAAUUUUGCGCAAUGGGAGCAAUCCUGACGCAGCAACGCCGCGUGGGUGAUGAAGGCCUUCGGGUCGUAAAGCCCUGUCAGGUGGGAAGAAUGUCCCGUGAGCGAACAGUUUGCGGGAGUGACGGUACCACCAGAGGAAGCCCGGCUAACUCCGUGCCAGCAGCCGCGGUAAUACGGAGGGUGCAAGCGUUAUUCGGAAUUACUGGGCGUAAAGCGCGUGUAGGCGGUCCUGCAAGUCUGAUGUGAAAGCCCCGGGCUUAACCCGGGAAGUGCAUUGGAAACUGCAGGUCUUGAGUACUGGAGAGGAUGGGGGAAUUCCCGGUGUAGAGGUGAAAUUCGUAGAGAUCGGGAGGAAUAUCAGUGGCGAAGGCGACCAUCUGGACGGUAACUGACGCUGGUACGCGAAAGCGUGGGGAGCAAACA
RNAcentral lists this ribosomal RNA (427 nucleotides) under uncultured prokaryote. RNAcentral's name for it is "bacterial SSU rRNA". It matches the Rfam family "Bacterial small subunit ribosomal RNA", at positions 355 to 774 of the family's 1533-position model. The record is from RNAcentral.